RNAcentral lists this ribosomal RNA (371 nucleotides) under uncultured bacterium. RNAcentral describes it as "partial 16S ribosomal RNA". It matches the Rfam family "Bacterial small subunit ribosomal RNA", at positions 338 to 706 of the family's 1533-position model. The record is from RNAcentral.
CCUACGGGUGGCAGCAGUGAGGAAUAUUGGUCAAUGGGCGCGAGCCUGAACCAGCCAAGUAGCGUGAAGGAUGACUGCCCUACGGGUUGUAAGCUUCUUUUAUAAAGAAAUACAGUGAGGCACGUGUUCCUUUUUGUAUUUACUUUAUGAUUAAAGAUCGGCUAACUCCGUUCCAGCAGCCGCGGGAAUACGGAGGAUCCGAGCGUUAUCUGGAUUUAUUGGUUUUAAAGGGAGCGUAGAUGGGUUGUUAAGUCAGUUGUGAAAGUUUGCGGCUCAAACGUAAAAUUGCACUUGAUACUGGCAGUCUUGAGUACAGUUGAGGUAGGCGGAAUUCGUGGUGUAGCGGUGAAAUGCGUAGAUAUCACGAAGAA